UGCAUGCCUGCAGGUCGACGAUUGCCUACGGGAGGCAGCAGUGGGGAAUCUUGGACAAUGGGGGAAACCCUGAUCCAGCCAUGCCGCGUGAGUGAUGAAGGCCCUAGGGUUGUAAAACUCUUUCGGCGGGGACGAUAAUGACGGUACCCGCAGAAGAAGCUCCGGCUAACUUCGUGCCAGCAGCCGCGGUAAUACGAAGGGGGCUAGCGUUGUUCGGAAUUACUGGGCGUAAAGCGCGCGCAGGCGGUUCUUCAAGUCAGAGGUGAAAGCCCAGGGCUCAACCCUGGAAUGGCCUUUGAGACUAGAGAACUAGGGUACGGGAGAGGUGAGUGGAAUUCCGAGUGUAGAGGUGAAAUUCGUAGAUAUUCGGAAGAACACCAGUGGCGAAGGCGGCUCACUGGCCCGUUACCGACGCUCAGGCGCGACAGCGUGGGGAGCAAACAGGAUUAGAUACCCUGGUAGUCCACGCCGUAAACGAUGGAUGCUAGCCGUUGGUAAGCAUGCUUAUCAGUGGCGCAGCUAACGCAUUAAGCGUCCCGCCUGGGGAGUACGGCCGCAAGGUUGAAACUCAAACGAAUUGACGGAAUCUCUAGAGGAUCCCCGGGUACC
Molecule: ribosomal RNA, 609 nt
Filed under: uncultured bacterium
Lineage: Bacteria
Description: bacterial SSU rRNA
Rfam family: Bacterial small subunit ribosomal RNA
Source: RNAcentral